CCAGUUGGUGAUAAGUUCUCUUAUUUUGGGGACUCAAGUUUAUUGCAGUUCAUGUGUUGUAUUUUGAUUGUCCAUAUGUAUUGAUUAGUGGCAGCUGGAGGCAUGUCCUAGCUAUCUAUAGUUAGUAUAGUAGAGGCUUCAUAGAUGGUCAGUCAGAGUCAUGAUAUGUAAUUCAAGUUCUUUCUUCAGUUUUAUCAUGUCGUAAAUUUAUCGGUAUUAUAUUUAUUCAGA
Molecule: long non-coding RNA, 231 nt
Filed under: Capsicum annuum
Lineage: Eukaryota; Viridiplantae; Streptophyta; Magnoliopsida; Solanales; Solanaceae
Description: long non-coding RNA (CANN_LNC004820)
Source: RNAcentral